RNAcentral lists this ribosomal RNA (495 nucleotides) under uncultured bacterium. RNAcentral describes it as "partial 16S ribosomal RNA". It matches the Rfam family "Bacterial small subunit ribosomal RNA", at positions 899 to 1397 of the family's 1533-position model. The record is from RNAcentral.
ACUCAAAUGAAUUGACGGGGGCCCGCACAAGCGGCGGAGCAUGCGGAUUAAUUCGAUGCAACGCGAAGAACCUUACCUGGGUUUGACAUACACCGGAAAGCAUCAGAGAUGGUGCCCCUUUUGUCGGUGUACAGGUGGUGCAUGGCUGUCGUCAGCUCGUGUCGUGAGAUGUUGGGUUAAGUCCCGCAACGAGCGCAACCCUCGUCCUAUGUUGCCAGCGGGUCAUGCCGGGGACUCAUAGGAGACUGCCGGGGUCAACUCGGAGGAAGGUGGGGAUGACGUCAAGUCAUCAUGCCCCUUAUGUCCAGGGCUUCACGCAUGCUACAAUGGCCGGUACAAAGGGCUGCGAUGCUGUAAGGCGGAGCGAAUCCCAAAAAGCCGGUCUCAGUUCGGAUUGGGGUCUGCAACUCGACCCCAUGAAGUCGGAGUCGCUAGUAAUCGCAGAUCAGCAACGCUGCGGUGAAUACGUUCCCGGGCCUUGUACACACCGCCCGU